Molecule: transfer RNA, 77 nt
Filed under: Hyphomicrobium sp.
Lineage: Bacteria; Pseudomonadati; Pseudomonadota; Alphaproteobacteria; Hyphomicrobiales; Hyphomicrobiaceae
Also listed under: 5 other names
Description: tRNA-Arg
Rfam family: tRNA
About the family: Transfer RNA (tRNA) molecules are approximately 80 nucleotides in length.
Source: RNAcentral
GCACCCGUAGCUCAGCUGGAUAGAGUGUCGCCCUCCGAAGGCGAAGGUCGUAGGUUCGAAUCCUACCGGGUGCGCCA